CACUCCAAAAUCUCCGUUCCCACUAAAACCUUCGUUUUUCCCGCACCAUAUACAGAUUCCAUUAAUUUGAUCCAUCAUUCUUCUCACUUUAUUUUUUCUUUUUCAAAAUUCGGUAAAAUUUCGAACACGUGCAUAUAGAUAUUUUUUCGAGUUUCUUUUACCAGUAAUUGAUCCGAAAGUUAUAUAACGUGUGAUAUUGCGUGCAAAUAUCUGUCGAACACGGUGAAAAUGGAGGAGUACCUGCACUACAUGAAGACUCUCCGCUUCCAAAUGAACGACGUUGAGGAUCAAGCGGCCAAAAUUACAGUCGAAGAGCAAAUGUUCAGCACCACUAUUCAAACUCUGGAAAAAGAUCUCGAGUUAGCAAAGAAUGAAAAGAGGCUAUGGAAAGAGGAAAACGACCAGAUGGCAAAAGCUAAAGGACAGAUCUGUUUGCAGAUUCUGGAAAAGCAGAAGAAAAUUGCUUCUUUGGAAUGUGAUUCUUCCACCCUUGUUCAGACAUUGGACCUUAUGCAACAAGAAAGACUAAGCUUGGCAGCAAAAAAUGUUGAAAGAAGCGCAUACUAUAUCAAGGUUGAAGAGGACAUUGCUAUGCAAUUAAAACAACAGAAGGAGUGGGCAAAUGCUCAAAAAUUUAGCUCACCGACUGGAGAGAGUGGCUCGAUGCAGGUAAAGGAAAAAGCAGGUGGCGCCAAUGAGUCUCGGGAUGAUGUGGCUGAAAGCAUAAUGGUGAAUUUGGAUGCUGCUAAAGCUAAGUUUGACCAGCUUACACAACUAAAAUUCAAUCUUGCUGGGGAGAAUAGAAAGCUGAGGGAGUCUGUUGAGCUAGUGAAGAGUAAAGUAAAUGACUUUCAGUUAUCCUCUCACGUUCUUCCACCACGGGUGGAGAAUGGUUUCAGCCAGAACUUAGGGAGUUGGAUGUGAAAAGCUUGGAAGAGGAGCUUCAAGCGCUCUUAUCAGACAAAGCUGGAGAAACUGAGUAUACGCAGUCUCUGCAACUCAAAAUUAUGAAACUGAAGGAAAUUUUGCAUGUUGUUAAAUGUUGCUGUGGAGAGGAAUACAGAGUAAAAUUGGAUCUUUGUGCAUGACAAUUAAGGAGGCAAUAAACACGGAAAUCAAAUAGGAAAUGUGGGUACAAUGGUUCAACAGGUGAUUACAGAGUAAAUUUGCAAUGAAGAAGAAUUGUUGCUAAAACUGCUAAUUUGUUUUGAUGUUGAAAAUUGCACACAAUGAAUGAAUACAAUCCGUGUUCUGCUGGGA
Olea europaea var. sylvestris is the source of this 1260-nucleotide RNA transcript. RefSeq lists it as uncharacterized. The transcript is spliced from 11 exons. The record is from RefSeq and is a predicted model, not a curated record. Lineage: Eukaryota; Viridiplantae; Streptophyta; Magnoliopsida; Lamiales; Oleaceae.